AAAAAAAACAAUGUCAGGGUUGUUAUCCGCGAUGAGUGAGAACUCAACGUCAUUCGUAUUCAUGAAGAAAACGAAGUGCUGAAGCUAUAGCUGCGGAAAAACUACAGGUAAACCGUAUGGAAAAAGGAAAAUGCAAGGCUACAUGUGCGGACAAGCGGAAAGAUAAUGCCUUGGUUGAACUUCAUCAACGAAAUGGUGGAGUUGUGAUCCGCAGUGAGUUGAAACUUCGUAUUCGUUCAAAGAGUAGCUUUUAACCCAUAAAACUCCUCCGAAGAAAGCCGUGUCCCACUCAAUACUUCUUCCGCCUCAAUACAAUACAUGCAUUGGGAAAGAUACUUUCUGCAUGCAAACAUAUCCCUGUCUGAACGGCGAUCCGACACUCCCGCGUUCCUCUCUCUC
Long non-coding RNA from Rhododendron vialii, 399 nucleotides. RefSeq lists it as uncharacterized. The transcript is spliced from 3 exons. The record is from RefSeq and is a predicted model, not a curated record. Lineage: Eukaryota; Viridiplantae; Streptophyta; Magnoliopsida; Ericales; Ericaceae.